GGGGUCGCGUCCUAUCAGCUUGUUGGCGGGGUGAUGGCCUGCCAAGGCUUCGACGGGUAGCCGGCCUGAGAGGGCGACCGGCCACAUUGGGACUGAGAUACGGCCCAGACUCCUACGGGAGGCAGCAGUGGGGAAUAUUGCACAAUGGGCGAAAGCCUGAUGCAGCGACGCCGCGUGCGGGAUGACGGCCUUCGGGUUGUAAACCGCUUUUGAUUGGGAGCAAGCGAGAGUGAGUGUACCUUUCGAAUAAGCACCGGCUAACUACGUGCCAGCAGCCGCGGUAAUACGUAGGGUGCAAGCGUUAUCCGGAUUUAUUGGGCGUAAAGAGCUCGUAGGCGGUUCGUCGCGUCUGGUGUGAAAGUCCAUCGCUUAACGGUGGAUCGGCGCCGGGUACGGGCGGACUGGAGUGCGGUAGGGGAGACUGGAAUUCC
RNAcentral lists this ribosomal RNA (431 nucleotides) under uncultured Bifidobacterium sp. RNAcentral describes it as "bacterial SSU rRNA". It matches the Rfam family "Bacterial small subunit ribosomal RNA", at positions 227 to 670 of the family's 1533-position model. The record is from RNAcentral. Lineage: Bacteria; Bacillati; Actinomycetota; Actinomycetes; Bifidobacteriales; Bifidobacteriaceae.